RNAcentral lists this ribosomal RNA (497 nucleotides) under uncultured bacterium. RNAcentral describes it as "partial 16S ribosomal RNA". It matches the Rfam family "Bacterial small subunit ribosomal RNA", at positions 28 to 507 of the family's 1533-position model. The record is from RNAcentral.
GAUGAACGCUGGCGGCGUGCCUAAUACAUGCCAGUCGAGCGAACAGACGAGGAGCUUGCUCCUCUGACGUUAGCGGCGGACGGGUGAGUAACACGUGGAUAACCUACCUAUAAGACUGGGAUAACUUCGGGAAACCGGAGCUAAUACCGGAUAAUAUAUUGAACCGCAUGGUUCAAUAGUGAAAGACGGUUUUGCUGUCACUUAUAGAUGGAUCCGCGCCGCAUUAGCUAGUUGGUAAGGUAACGGCUUACCAAGGCAACGAUGCGUAGCCGACCUGAGAGGGUGAUCGGCCACACUGGAACUGAGACACGAUCCAGACUCCUACGGGAGGCAGCAGUAGGGAAUCUUCCGCAAUGGGCGAAAGCCUGACGGAGCAACGCCGCGUGAGUGAUGAAGGUCUUCGGAUCGUAAAACUCUGUUAUUAGGGAAGAACAAAUGUGUAAGUAACUAUGCACGUCUUGACGGUACCUAAUCAGAAAGCCACGGCUAACUACGUG